Anaeramoeba flamelloides is the source of this 71-nucleotide non-coding RNA. Lineage: Eukaryota; Anaeramoebidae. The record is from the annotation of a GenBank genome assembly.
UCUUGAGUAUUUUAGUGGUAAAAUACUGGCCCUACACGCCAGAGACCGGGGUUCGAUUCCCUGCUUGAGAA